Molecule: long non-coding RNA, 2662 nt
Filed under: Chloebia gouldiae (Gouldian finch)
Lineage: Eukaryota; Metazoa; Chordata; Aves; Passeriformes; Passeridae
Description: Erythrura gouldiae (Gouldian finch) lncRNA (ENSEGOG00005003805.1)
Source: RNAcentral
AUGAAUAUGAAUGGUGAUUCUAUCUUUGGAAGGCAGAAGAUGAGAUGAAUUGUCUUUUAGUGGUCAAGUCUGAUAGAUAUCCUUUUUUAUGUGUUGGUAUUGAGUCUUGUAAAAGAUUUUUCAAAGUGGAAAUAAGUUUUCCCGAGAGAGAAAGAUAAGAAAUAAAGGAUUGGAAACUCCUACUGUGAAAUUCUAGCCCUAUUUCUAAUGCUAGGUUAAUAGUUGGUAUUUGUGAUCCUAAAGGCCUAUGAUUCUAAUGAGAGAUUUGCUCCUGACUUCAGGAUGAUCACAGUUUUACUCCUAUGGAGCAGUUGGGCUUUCCUAGGAAAGGAAGUUGUUUGCAGGCUUCUUGAAGAAAUGGAACAAAAAUCAUUAUAGCAGAGGUCAAUCACUGGAUCUGACUAAUGGUGAUGAUAUUAAAGAACACAGACUGGAAGAUUCUAGUCAUUAUCCCAACCCAGACUGGCCAGGAGCAUAUUGGUCUGAUCCAGGGAGAGUCCAUACAUGUGCUCAGCUGUGUUAGGAGAAGGAAGGACAGUGUUCGACCUACAAACUUCCAGCAUUCACCAAGACAGAAGACAUUAUUUUUUUCUGUUAUGUUUUUGCAGCAUAUUGCAUUACAUCUAACCUAGAAAUGUCAUAAAUACAUAAUUUUGAUGAUGAAAUAAUUCCAGCAUUUUCUACACAAGAUGCUACACCAGUCUGUCCAUGUAGUUCAAGAAUAUUUCUCUACUAUGCUAGUUAAAUCAGAUUGGCUGCUGGUGUUGGCAUAGUUAUAGGAUGUGUGUAGGUCUUUCUAUAUUUGGGGUAGGUGAGUGCAGGUGUAUACAUAUUUUUAUGUAUAAAAUUCAUAAAUACUGGAAAAUACACAGUGAGGCAUACUGUAAAAGCUUAUGCUUUAAGAAAAUACUGCUAUGGGUCUAUUAUCUAGUGCUAGGGUGACAAGGAACUAACGAAGAAUUGAAACCUCCAUUUCACUGGCCUUACAAAUAAUUGAGGGGAUAAAUCAAAGGAUACUGAACCUUGGUUGCUCUACAGUCUUGUGCCAAGUCCAAGGAGAUGGAAGAAGCUACAUGUAAAAUAGAUGCCAAGAGCAUCAGAGGUAAAGACCCUAAUGAUUUCUGACUCCUGGCAUUUCCCUGAUUUGUAGCUGACAGAGACUGAUUUGUUUGGAAGCAUAUGGUUCAGCAUAGUUUACUACUUUCCAGGGAUAUUGUUAUUUCUUGUAACACUUCACUUUCUUUCCUAAAAGAAUCAGCCUGCUAAAUCAAUUUCCUUUUCCUUUUCUACCUCUACUUCUUCCAAUCAUCUCUUGAAUUGGAGGCCUUCCUUAUAAUUACUGACAUAAUUUAAAAAUGGUCUUAUUUGGAACCUUUAUGUAAACAUCCAUUAUUUAUAGAAUCAGUUACCUGGCGUGGUCAGUCGCUACGCCUUGGUCUUGCAGUAUCUGCUGCUUGCAUGAAACCUAAGCCAGCUAAUAGCAAACUGUCUUUGGGAAAAACACAAGUAAAUAUAUGCAGUUAUUAACAACAUGCAAUAUUUGAUGUUAUUAGAUACAAAUCUUUCAUGAGGACACCAAAAUGUAUUUUGGUGCCUAUGAGUAAUGAAGGUGAAGGUCUCAGAACAGGGAAGGAACUGCCAUAUCUCUGUAACUUGUCCCACAGUCAUAGCAUAUUCUUCCUUAAGAACAUGUGGGAUAAACUCUGGAUUUUGUGUAAUGUUUGAAAUGAUGUCUCUUUGUUCUCUAAAGGAUGUAUGUGGAAAUUUUGUAAUUGACAUUUGACCUGAGCACACAGUAAUCUUUAUAGAUGCAAGGUAGAUGUCUCCAAAAACUCACUCAUCCUGUAAUCUUCCUUAUUGUCACUAUUCAGAGCAUUAAUUCUUUUCUUUAAGCACCUUUCUUUGCUAUUUGCCAGUUAACUUCUCUUACUUCCUAGAGAUUGUGAAAUUACUUUUGAUUAAAGUUUUUUGCAUUGAUAAUUCCAGUGACAAAACUGAAAGCUUUUACAAUUGAAAGUAAAAUUGAAAGCUUUAUAAUUUUAAUGCUGUUCAGGAUUUUGUUGCUUACCUUUUUUUCAUCUUUGGAAUAAGGAAAAUUCCUUACGCUUUUUUCAACUGUCCUCAAUUAAACAGUUACUACUGCCAUAAACAUUGCUAACUCUCAUUUGACACAUUCUUAUGAGAAAAACAGCGCACAUGCUUUUCACUCCUCUCUGUUCUGAGUUUUGAGGUCCUCUUCCUUCAGAAUUAGAAAAACUAAAUUAAUUUUCUGGGACUUCACCUGGAGUCAAGUUUUCCCUUAUAGGUAGGCGUGUGGCACCUUAUUCAUUGUUAUCCAGAGCAAUCCCACUGAAAGUUGAUUCCCUCUAUCAACUACCUCAAGUUAUGCCUGAUGUUAAUGGUAUGCAGUGUUCACAUAAACCUUGAUAGCAGACUAUUCUGUUUCUAAAAGCUAGAAGGCAAAGAGAAAGAUUUAAUAUUUAUUGUAUUUAAAAAAAAUAAUUAGUAAUACUUAGAACUAUUUGAGUUGGAUUCAUUAUUUAAUAUUUUGGGCAGGUGAUGCUGACUGACUGUUCACCACUGUGAGGAAAAGGCCAUCUCUCUGGCCACUGGAUCAUAAAGUUUUAUUGCAGAAUAAACACAGGGCACUCAAGGAAAAGCA